Molecule: long non-coding RNA, 3506 nt
Organism: Anopheles darlingi
Lineage: Eukaryota; Metazoa; Arthropoda; Insecta; Diptera; Culicidae
Exons: 4
Source: RefSeq, a predicted model, not a curated record
GGGGGGGGGGUUGUGCUGAGCACCUCCAUGCUCCUCUUCCUGCUGCUCUACCGCUACCGCUUGUUGCCACGUCUUCUCGCAUAUUAUCGUGCCACAUCGUCUUCGUUCGUCCCGUGAAAUCGAUGAAAGCGAAAGAAGCAGCAGCACCAGCAGCAGCAGGAGCAGAGAAUUCUUGGCUUGCGUGUAGUGGUGUGACCAUUUCCGUUAGCAUAAGAGAAAGAGAGAGAAAGAGAAAGAGACAGGACCUAGCAGAGCAGCUGCUGCAGCUUGUGCAGUUCACGGACGAACGAGCAGCGGGCGCGAAACCGGAGGUGGGGUUGUUAAACUUGAACUUGAACGAACGAACGAACGAUGGAGGCCUACAUCGGUGCUCGCACGCACACCACGGUACGACAAAGGAGAACAACACACACCUACACACAGCUUAUGGCCUGCCCACCCCCCUAGGUACCUUGGAACAGCUGCAUCUGGAAAGGGGGUUAGCAGGAUGCUCGUGCACGAAACCGUGCCAAUUACAAUCAGCACGUGUUUGUCGGCGGCGGUCGUGAAACGUGACUCGUGAGUCACACGCGGUGGCCCACACGCGGAAGGCCAUCGACAGCCGCCGGGAAUCGACCAAAAACGCGAGCGGUUGGGAUGUGAUAUGGAAACUGCCUGCCUGCCUGCCUUGUUUUCCAUUUCGUUGCCCAAUCUAAUGAUCAACCUGCUGCUGCUAACCGUACAAAAGGGACGAUGUCACUGUCAGCACCGUAGAAGAGGAGCGCCGUAGGUAAGUGUUCUAGAAUGUUCUCGCGCCGCUGAUGGCGACAGCAGCAGCAGCAGCACGAAGUGGAAAGUGGUUGCAUGUUGGUGUGAGCAGCGCGCGUACACGGAACCCUCUGCCGCUGGGAUACACCUUGUGCUCGCUUUGCAAUUGAAAUACUCAAGUGAACACAUCUGGUGGUAUCUCAGUGGCCGGGCACUAUGGUUCACUAUUCAACGGGAAAGCCGGAAAACGGCGCUGGGACGGAAAAUUGAGCGACCGGCAGGUCGUGAGAUACCGUGCGCUUGCGUGCAAGUUGCAUGCAAGUGCGGCGAGUUUGGUCGAGAAAAUGCGGAAAAUCCAUCGAAAGCGAAGAAGCAGAAGAAGAGAAUUUAACGAAACCGAACGUUACUGUCUUGAGGUGAAUUUUGAGGUGGGUGGCGAUGAUAUCGACAUUGAUAACCUGGACCGAUGGAGGCGCCAAACCACGUGUUCCGAUCAGCGCUUCCGUUGCUAGUAACCAUCUACUGUACAUCGAACCUGAUGACAUCACGCCCAGCUCCAGCAGCUUAAGGAGCAGUGGUACAUUCCCGCUACAACCAUGAAGCAUAACCGUGAAAUUGGCCAACCAUCAAACCGGUAAGUACCCCGCGGCUCCAUCGUCGCUUCCCUAUAAAACAUAUCGACAAUGGUUUCUUGGUCAGUUUCCUCCGUUUCCCGAAAAAAUGUUUAAACUCGAAAAAUACUUAUUAAACACUGCCACCGGAAAUCCACCAACAACUGCAACACAACAACAAAAAAUCUCCCAACAUCGCGCAGCAUGAAUUCGAAAGCGGUGACGAAGUAAAAAAAAAGCGGAACAUUUCUAUUUCUCCAUUUUCCACCCUUGGGCGGCGCGGACGACGCCAAAUUAUAGUUUAAUCGGAUCUCGGAUCGCUUCGCCCACAGACGCCAGACCUCAGGCGCCAGCAACAACACAUUUUGCGUUUGGUAACGCUCCGGAAAAAUUCUUCUCCGGGCUGCCUGUUGCUUCUGUUGCACCUACCGCAACGUACCGAACGUUGACCAUGCUGGUUUCAUGCUCAGAAAACGCAACGCAACGUUAUGCUCCCGUUCAUUGUGUUGCUGUGUUUGCUGCUUUGCUGUGUUCCCUAUCGAGCCGCGAGCCUAACGGUGGUGCGAAUCAAAGAUAACAGCACCAACAGACCGAACUAGCAGCAACAUGUGUUGAUCGUAAUCUACAUAACGAAACUCCUAUUGGAGGGCUGCUUGUUGUUGCUGCUGCUGCUGCUGCUGUUGUUGUUGUUAUUGUUUAUGGCCGAGACCCGACGUUGAUUAUGACCACCGUUUUACACAACACAACAGUGCGUCAAGACGCAUUCUACAGCUUACAAUACGGGGGCGAUAAGCUUGACAUUCUUUAACCUGCACCUGGCCAUUGUACGUAACCGACGUAAAACCGAACGGGAAUGUUGGGCAUGUUUGCAAUAGAACACGAGUCACUCUCAUGCUUGUGGAGGAGUAGAAAGUGUUACUAAUCCUUCAAAAUCCGUCUGCUGCUGCUGCUGCUGGCACUACUACUAGACGUGCUACUUAACCCGGACUCCUCUGUUGCGGUUUGAUGGUUAAGGAAAUCAUGUCCGUGCUGCGCUACUACCUAGCGCCGCCAUAGUGCACCGUUACAGCAGCAGUAGUGUCGAGUAUGUUUCCGAUCCACUCGAUUGCACAUCUAGAGAGGGGUUGGCGUGGCAUCGAAGGGCGAUAUGCAACGCGCGAAAACAUAAGCUUAUUAGCGAGGGAGAGAUGAUUUGAAAGUUGGAACAACACCAGGCACCAGGCACCACCACGGUUGCAUUUACAAUUCCGGCGCAAAUCCUAACGCGCUCCGCUUUCACCGCUGCAUGUCUUUGCAUCUAGGGGGUGUCGGAAAGGGGGGGUGGCAGCUAAUUGGACUGCACCAUUCCUACGAAGCGCGUUGCAUUUGGGGGACUGUUGCAAUGCAGCUGGAAAGUCAUCACGAAAGAUAAACGUUUUUUCCAUGAAAAGCUAAUAAAAGUGAGAAAACAAUUCGCCCAACGGAAUGCACUUCAAUGCACUUUGGUGCACUUCUAAGCAAACUGCUUGUUCCAUUUGAGGUAGAGAAGAGCGAUGAUCGCACUAGCAUCAUGUCUGCUCAUUAUACUGUUAUCGAUGGAAUAUCUUCAAUUUUCUAGUGUUUGGCCUCCUUGCGUUCUGUUUUCUAAUUUUCUAGCAGUUUAGUAUCCUUCAAAUGAACACAUAUGCAUCCUUCUUAAUCUUGAUAAGUAUUUCAUGCGGGCUGCGAUUAGCUAUCGAGUAAAAAAAUAACUUAUCGCUCCAAAUGUUUUAAAAUAUGUAUAAUUGAAGAGCACCACAAGUACACCAUUACAGUAAUGCUUAACGAAAGGCAAUACCGUUGAAUCCAACCUCGAAUGCCUGACCAGCACAUACCCAGCACGCCAUUGGCGACCAUGACUUUUACUAGUCCUCUAGCAGCGCUCUAAUUUGGCGUACGCUUCAUCCACUAUUAUAUCAUCAGCGUCAUCAGCGUCAUUCUAGACGGAACGCGCCAAUUCCCGGAUUCCCCAUUUGCGGGGGAAGUGACAUUGCAUCGCGAUAAUGUGAGGCUGAUGCAGUUUCUGCUGGAGAAGGGAUGCUCUCGACUUCCCUCGUGGGGGACGAGGGCACAGAUAGUGCAUUGUCUACUGUCUGCUGUGAUGGAUAUAGCGACAGAAAGAGAGAGAGA